GCCUCCGGCCUUCUGUAGUCCUCCCCAAGACCUCCCACGGUCCGUAGAAAGAGAAGGAGAUGAGCUGCUGUCCAGUUUUUCCAAAUCGAAAAAGAAAAGGAGCUAAAACGUUUUCCGACGGGUAAAAAUGUCACAACAGAAUUAGCUACAUUUCUCCAUAAAGGUCAAAGAAUAUAAAACCAACAUUGAUUGCGUUGAUUAAAUAUCCAAAUGAGUCCAAGAGCUCUCUUUGUAAAAAGCAGGGAGAGUACGAGUACAGUAGCCUGCUGCCUCACCUUCAGAGCCAUGGAACCCACAUUGUAAAGUAUGCAGAUUUCCAAGUGGUCAUUUUGUGGUUUCUCUGUACAACGUGCUGCAUUUUAUCCUUAAGACACCCUUCAAUUUUAAUGAGAAUGACAUGCCAGCUUUGAGGAAGUGGUGGUGCACAAUGUUGCUUGAGAACUCCAACCCCAAGAGGUUUAGACUCUAUUGAGCCAUUAAUUAAAAGACAGAAGAUGAGUGAAGACUUGCACUAAGUAUGAAGUGAAAAAAAAGUCUUGCUAUUACAUAGCACUGCAUUCAUGCAGGUUUCAAAUCUUUUCUUUUAGAAGAAACAUCAGCCUCCCUUCUGCAAUAUCCAGCAGAGGUCAUUGAUGAGCAGCAACACAGAAUCCUUCAGCUUCUUGAGGAGGCAGAGAAGUAGUGUGCUAACAAUCGAUCCGUGAUCAGGGGGCAAGUCUCACCCCCGUCAUUACUGUCAAUGGAGAAAGAAGACAUAGAGGCCCUUCAGGAACUGAAGAGGAGAAGGAAUAUGUCUUUAGACCCUUCAUCUUCCUUUUUUCACGUAUGGAAGUCAUGCAUCUGUUUUUAGAUUAUGUGAGAGGAAAAAGAAAAAUUACUGUGCUUUUUGAGAAAAUGUAGCAUAAACAUACACGCCCUUCAUUGUUCUGUUGCAACCUACAAUUCUUGCUUUAUGUUUUAUGUAUUGUUUAAGUUUUUUGUAAUAAAUGUUGCAAACCAACUUCAUUUUUGCAGUC
This is a long non-coding RNA of Polypterus senegalus (gray bichir), 1016 nucleotides long. RefSeq lists it as uncharacterized. NCBI's taxonomy places the organism in Eukaryota, Metazoa, Chordata, Cladistia, Polypteriformes, Polypteridae. The record is from RefSeq and is a predicted model, not a curated record. The transcript has 6 exons.